UUUGCCUUUAGUUACUUUCCGA
This 22-nucleotide microRNA is filed under the name Heliconius melpomene (postman butterfly). RNAcentral describes it as "Hme-Novel-5-P1_3p (mature (guide))". Lineage: Eukaryota; Metazoa; Arthropoda; Insecta; Lepidoptera; Nymphalidae. The record is from RNAcentral.